This is a long non-coding RNA of Grus americana (Whooping crane), 338 nucleotides long. RefSeq lists it as uncharacterized. NCBI's taxonomy places the organism in Eukaryota, Metazoa, Chordata, Aves, Gruiformes, Gruidae. The transcript has 3 exons. The record is from RefSeq and is a predicted model, not a curated record.
UUAAAGCCUGCAGAAUUCCACAGAAACUUAUGGAAGAUAAGGAAAUCUCUCUAUUAAUAAAGAACAUACCUCAAAGAAAAAUAUGCCUCAACUUGAGCUUUGAUUGCAGGGAUUUCAAGGUGAUCCAGGAUGAGUAACUGAGAUGGCUGUGAGGGGAGAAGCAUGAAGGGACAACGAAACCUGGUCAGUGGAUACAUUCCAAAGCAGAGAAUCCCUUGUGGAACAAGCUAGUUACAGAAAUACAAGGCAAGUACAGCUGGAGCCAGACUUCCCGUGGACAGAUGUUCUAAUACUUUUGAAGAAAAAAUUAAAUAAGGAGGUGCAGGAAGAAACAGAAG